RNAcentral lists this ribosomal RNA (484 nucleotides) under uncultured bacterium. RNAcentral's name for it is "partial 16S ribosomal RNA". It matches the Rfam family "Bacterial small subunit ribosomal RNA", at positions 30 to 507 of the family's 1533-position model. The record is from RNAcentral.
AUUGAACGCUGGCGGCAGGCCUAACACAUGCAAGUCGAGCGGAUGGAGGGAGCUUGCUCCUGGAUUCAGCGGCGGACGGGUGAGUAAUGCCUAGGAAUCUGCCUGGUAGUGGGGGAUAACGUCCGGAAACGGGCGCUAAUACCGCAUACGUCCUGAGGGGGAAAGUGGGGGAUCUUCGGACCUCACGCUAUCAGAUGAGCCUAGGUCGGAUUAGCUAGUUGGUGGGGUAAAGGCCUACCAAGGCGACGAUCCGUAACUGGUCUGAGAGGAUGAUCAGUCACACUGGAACUGAGACACGGUCCAGACUCCUACGGGAGGCAGCAGUGGGGAAUAUUGGACAAUGGGCGAAAGCCUGAUCCAGCCAUGCCGCGUGUGUGAAGAAGGUCUUCGGAUUGUAAAGCACUUUAAGUUGGGAGGAAGGGCAGUAAGUUAAUACCUUGCUGUUUUGACGUUACCAACAGAAUAAGCACCGGCUAACUUCGUG